GCGGCUGUAGUCUAGUGGUAGGACUGAAGCUUCCCAAGCUUCAAACUCGGGUUCGAAUCCCGGCAGCCGCA
Molecule: transfer RNA, 71 nt
Filed under: Thermoplasmata archaeon
Lineage: Archaea; Methanobacteriati; Thermoplasmatota; Thermoplasmata
Also listed under: 4 other names
Description: tRNA-Gly
Rfam family: tRNA
About the family: Transfer RNA (tRNA) molecules are approximately 80 nucleotides in length. Their secondary structure includes four short double-helical elements and three loops (D, anti-codon, and T loops). Further hydrogen bonds mediate the characteristic L-shaped molecular structure. tRNAs have two regions of fundamental functional importance: the anti-codon, which is responsible for specific mRNA codon recognition, and the 3' end, to which the tRNAs corresponding amino acid is attached (by aminoacyl-tRNA synthetases). tRNAs cope with the degeneracy of the genetic code in two manners: having more than one tRNA (with a specific anti-codon) for a particular amino acid; and 'wobble' base-pairing, i.e. permitting non-standard base-pairing at the 3rd anti-codon position.
Source: RNAcentral